UACGUAGGGGGCAAGCGUUGUCCGGAUUUAUUGGGCGUAAAGAGCGUGUAGGCGGCCUGGAAGGUCAGCUGUGAAAACUCGAGGCUCAACCUCGAGACGUCGGUUGAAACCACCAGGCUAGAGUCCGGAAGAGGAGAGUGGAAUUCCCGGUGUAGCGGUGAAAUGCGCAGAUAUCGGGAAGAACACCCGUGGCGAAGGCGGCUCUCUGGGACGGUACUGACGCUGAGACGCGAAAGCGUGGGGAGCGAACAGG
RNAcentral lists this ribosomal RNA (253 nucleotides) under uncultured bacterium. Its description in RNAcentral is "partial 16S ribosomal RNA". It matches the Rfam family "Bacterial small subunit ribosomal RNA", at positions 524 to 776 of the family's 1533-position model. The record is from RNAcentral.